Syngnathus acus (greater pipefish) is the source of this 383-nucleotide long non-coding RNA. RefSeq lists it as uncharacterized. The transcript has 3 exons. The record is from RefSeq and is a predicted model, not a curated record. NCBI's taxonomy places the organism in Eukaryota, Metazoa, Chordata, Actinopteri, Syngnathiformes, Syngnathidae.
GUUGAACUUGAUGGCAUUCUUCAGCAACAUGAGCGCAGUACCCCGACAAACUUUAGCCUCAUCCAGUGCGUAAAAUACAUCGUCUGUUCGGAGGCGUGGAUGGCCUUCAAGUGGUUCUUAAGCUCUUCUUCACUGGCUUGAAUUGUCUCCAGUAGAUCGUCCAUGGUGUACUACAAACGAAGAUACACAUUGUCUUCGUGGAAAGAGCAACAGGUUGGACGUGUCUGCGAUCUUCAAAUCGUAGGUCCUGUCACCGGUACACAGCACGGCGUGCUCUUCUUUGUCCCCUCUGAUCACCAGGCUGCAAAAACAUCAACAUCAGGUCAGGUCUACAAAACCCUCACAGGGAACUAUAAAGUUCAGAAAUUGUUCCGACCUGUCAC